RNAcentral lists this ribosomal RNA (752 nucleotides) under uncultured Enterococcus sp. Its description in RNAcentral is "bacterial SSU rRNA". It matches the Rfam family "Bacterial small subunit ribosomal RNA", at positions 760 to 1515 of the family's 1533-position model. The record is from RNAcentral. Lineage: Bacteria; Bacillati; Bacillota; Bacilli; Lactobacillales; Enterococcaceae.
CGUGGGGAGCAAACAGGAUUAGAUACCUGGUAGUCCACGCCGUAAACGAUGAGUGCUAAGUGUUGGAGGGUUUCCCCCUUCAGUGCUGCAGCUAACGCAUUAAGCACUCCGCUGGGGAGUACGACCGCAAGGUUGAAACUCAAAGGAAUUGACGGGGGCCCGCACAAGCGGUGGAGCAUGUGGUUUAAUUCGAAGCAACGCGAAGAACCUUACCAGGUCUUGACAUCCUUUGACCACUCUAGAGAUAGAGCUUUCCCUUCGGGGACAAAGUGACAGGUGGUGCAUGGUUGUCGUCAGCUCGUGUCGUGAGAUGUUGGGUUAAGUCCCGCAACGAGCGCAACCCUUAUUGUUAGUUGCCAUCAUUCAGUUGGGCACUCUAGCGAGACUGCCGGUGACAAACCGGAGGAAGGUGGGGAUGACGUCAAAUCAUCAUGCCCCUUAUGACCUGGGCUACACACGUGCUACAAUGGGAAGUACAACGAGUCGCUAGGCCGCGAGGUCAUGCAAAUCUCUUAAAGCUUCUCUCAGUUCGGAUUGCAGGCUGCAGCUCGCCUGCAUGAAGCCGGAAUCGCUAGUAAUCGCGGAUCAGCACGCCGCGGUGAAUACGUUCCCGGGCCUUGUACACACCGCCCGUCACACCACGAAAGUUUGUAACACCCGAAGUCGGUGAGGUAACCUUUUGGAGCCAGCCGCCUAAGGUGGGAUAGAUGAUUGGGGUGAAGUCGUAACAAGGUAACCAAGGGCGAAUUCUG